AACGAACGCUGGCGGCGCGCCUAACACAUGCAAGUCGAACGAGAAGGCGUAGCAAUACGCUUGUAGAGUGGCGAACGGGUGAGUAAUACGUGGGUGACCUACCCUCGAGUGGGGAAUAACCCGCCGAAAGGCGGGCUAAUGCCGCGUACGCUUCCGUCCUCACGGGGACGGAAGGAAAGCUGUACCGUGGGUACGGCGCUCAAGGAUGGGCUCACGUCCUAUCAGCUUGUUGGUAGGGUAACGGCCACCAAGGCUACGACGGGUAGCUGGUCUGAGAGGACGAUCAGCCACACUGGCACUGCGACACGGGCCAGACUCCUACGGGAGGCAGCAGUGAGGAAUAUUGCGCAAUGGGCGAAAGCCUGACGCAGCGACGCCGCGGU
RNAcentral lists this ribosomal RNA (383 nucleotides) under uncultured bacterium. Its description in RNAcentral is "bacterial SSU rRNA". It matches the Rfam family "Bacterial small subunit ribosomal RNA", at positions 29 to 403 of the family's 1533-position model. The record is from RNAcentral.